This 565-nucleotide ribosomal RNA is filed under the name uncultured Glomeromycotina. RNAcentral's name for it is "SSU rRNA". It matches the Rfam family "Eukaryotic small subunit ribosomal RNA", at positions 548 to 1114 of the family's 1831-position model. The record is from RNAcentral. Lineage: Eukaryota; Fungi; Glomeromycota.
UUGGAGGGCAAGUCUGGUGCCAGCAGCCGCGGUAAUUCCAGCUCCAAUAGCGUAUAUUAAAGUUGUUGCAGUUAAAAAGCUCGUAGUUGAAUUUCGGGGUCAGUAGGUUGGUCAUGCCACUGGUAUGUACUGGUCUCACUGAUUCCUCCUUCCUGAUGAACUGUAAUGCCAUUAAUUUGGUGUUGCAGGGAAUCUGGACUGUUACUUUGAAAAAAUUAGAGUGUUUAAAGCAGGCUAACGCCUGAAUACAUUAGCAUGGAAUAAUGAAAUAGGACGUUCGAUCCUAUUUUGUUGGUUUCUAGGAUUGACGUAAUGAUUAAUAGGGAUAGUUGGGGGCAUUAGUAUUCAAUUGUCAGAGGUGAAAUUCUUGGAUUUAUUGAAGACUAACUACUGCGAAAGCAUUUGCCAAGGAUGUUUUCAUUAAUCAAGAACGAAAGUUAGGGGAUCGAAGACGAUCAGAUACCGUCGUAGUCUUAACCAUAAACUAUGCCGACUAGGGAUCGGACGAAGUUAAUUUUAUAAUGACGCGUUCGGCACCUUACGGGAAACCAAAGUGUUUGGGUUC